This 913-nucleotide ribosomal RNA is filed under the name uncultured archaeon. RNAcentral describes it as "bacterial SSU rRNA". It matches the Rfam family "Archaeal small subunit ribosomal RNA", at positions 4 to 922 of the family's 1478-position model. The record is from RNAcentral.
CUGGUUGAUCCUGCCAGAGGUUACUGCUAUCGAGGUUCGACUAAGCCAUGCGAGUCGAAUGUAGCAAUACAUGGCGUACUGCUCAGUAACACGUGGACAACCUACCCUUAGGACGGGGAUAAACCCGGGAAACUGGGUAUAAUACCCGAUGGUCCUCGGCUGCUGGAAUGCAUCGAGGACUAAAGCUCCGGCGCCUAAGGAUGGGUCUGCGGCCUAUCAGGUAGUAGUGGGUGUAGCGUACCUACUAGCCUACGACGGGUACGGGUUGUGAGAGCAAGAGCCCGGAGAUGGAUUCUGAGACACGAAUCCAGGCCCUACGGGGUGCAGCAGGCGCGAAAACUUUACAAUGCUGGCAACAGCGAUAAGGGAACCUCGAGUGCCAGGUUACAAAUCUGGCUGUCGUGAUGCCUAAAAAGCAUUGCAUAGCAAGGGCCGGGCAAGACCGGUGCCAGCCGCCGCGGUAACACCGGCGGCUCGAGUGGUAACCGUUAUUAUUGGGUCUAAAGGGUCUGUAGCCGGCCGGAUAAGUCUCUUGGGAAAUCUGGCAGCUCAACUGUCAGGCUUUCAGGAGAUACUGUCUGGCUCGAGGCCGGGAGAGGUGAGAGGUACUUCAGGGGUAGGGGUGAAAUCUUGUAAUCCUUGAAGGACCACCAGUGGCGAAGGCGUCUCACCAGAACGGACCUGACGGCAAGGGACGAAAGCUAGGGGCACGAACCGGAUUAGAUACCCGGGUAGUCCUAGCCGUAAACGAUACUCGCUAGGUGUCGGCCACGGUGCGACCGUUGUCGGUGCCGUAGGGAAGCCGUGAAGCGAGCCACCUGGGAAGUACGGCCGCAAGGCUGAAACUUAAAGGAAUUGGCGGGGGAGCACCACAACGGGUGGAGCUUGCGGUUUAAUUGGAUUCAACGCCGGG